CAGUCGCCGCGGGAAUACGAGGGGUGCAAGCGUUACUCGGAAUUACUGGGCGUAAAGCGUGCGUAGGUGGUGGUUUAAGUCCGUUGUGAAAGCCCUGGGCUCAACCUGGGAAUUGCAGUGGAUACUGGGUCACUAGAGUGUGGUAGAGGAUAGUGGAAUUUCCGGUGUAGCAGUGAAAUGCGUAGAGAUCGGAAGGAACAUCUGUGGCGAAGGCGACUAUCUGGGCCAACACUGACACUGAGGCACGAAAGCGGGGGGAGCAAACAGGAUUAGAUACCCGAGUAGUCCCUGUCUCUUAUAC
Molecule: ribosomal RNA, 301 nt
Filed under: uncultured bacterium
Lineage: Bacteria
Description: partial 16S ribosomal RNA
Rfam family: Bacterial small subunit ribosomal RNA
Source: RNAcentral